Molecule: ribosomal RNA, 301 nt
Filed under: uncultured bacterium
Lineage: Bacteria
Description: partial 16S ribosomal RNA
Rfam family: Bacterial small subunit ribosomal RNA
Source: RNAcentral
CAGUCGCCACGGUAAUACGGAGGGUGCAAGCGUUAUCCGGAUUCACUGGGUUCAAAGGGUGCGUAGGCGGAUCUGUAAGUCAGUGGUGAAAUCUCCAGGCUUAACCUGGAAACUGCCGUUGAUACUAUAGGUCUUGAAUUUUGUGGAGGUUAGCGGAAUAUGUCAUGUAGCGGUGAAAUGCAUAGAUAUGACAUAGAACACCAAUUGCGAAGGCAGCUGGCUACACAACUAUUGACGCUGAGGCACGAAAGCGUGGGGAUCAAACAGGAUUAGAUACCCCCGUAGUCCCUGUCUCUUAUAC